UUGAAUACUCGCAGCACAUUUCCUUCAACAGUAUUUUGCAAGAUGUUUAAAGUUAUGUUUCUCCCCGUCCUGAUCCUAGUCUUCAUAUUGCCUGUGACAAGUGUUCAAGUGUCCACUGCUCUCAAAUUCGGAGAUGAUGGCUACAGUAUAAUCUCCUUUCAACCCAACAUGUUACCUCUUACUGACAAGUUUACUGUUUGUCUUUGGUUUAAGGCGCUCCGAGGGAGUACGAGUGCAGUGAUAUAUGCCUACGAACAAGGUGAAAUGUAUUUGUAUGACAACAAAGGUGACAACAAUCUGUUUGGAGCACAUUUUUCCCUCCCCAGUGAGUUCAUAACUCCAAUGCGAGUAUGGACCCACCAUUGUGGAACAUGGAGUGUUGCUUCAAGGACGUACCGAGCGUACAUUAACGGUAAACUAGCUGGUUUCAAGAUCACAGCCUCUGGAAGAAGAUUGAAAACAGGUGGAACUCUGGUGUUGGGAGAUUAUAGAGAUCCCGCAGUUCAUGGCAGAACUGGUAACCAAUUUGGAGGAGAGAUGUACAAUCUCAACUUCUUCUCCAAAGAGUUAACUGGUAGUGAAGUAGGAGCAAUGUCAGCAGAUGGGCUCUGUACAAAGAUCCCUGAGGAGCUGGAGCAAUACCGGGCAAUCAGAUGGGAGGAUAUGUUGAGCCUUCCUAGACGUGGAAACGUGCAAGAUAUCGGCAGUGGAUGCAGUGAAAGUGCUUAUGUGAGCUAAUCCCGAGAAGAUUUAAUGUUUAUUGUAGUUUGAUAGAAUAUUCUUACUUCACAUAGGUAGGUGUUAUACUGUUACCAACUACAAAUUCCUGGUGUUUGAAGUUUCAUUUCAUAUAUUCACUACUUCAGGAUUUUAUCGGCGAAAAAGAAACUCUUCGGUUGAGUCUGAACAACACACAAGCAGAACUGCAAAAGUUACAGAGACUGUUCAAUUCUACCCAGGAGGAGUUACGGACGGUGAAGAGAAAUCUUCUAUCUACGACAGAGGAACUCAACAGCACUAGGAUUGAACUUGAAGAGACAUCCUUUGAAUUGAAUGAAACGAGGACCAAGCUAGAUAAUUCAACUCUAAAAGAAGCAGGAUGUACUGAUUUUAUCGGUGAAAAAGAAAGCCAGGAGGAGUCACGGACAAGAUGUGCGCUGCAAAGAGGAUCUCUGACGAAAUGGGACUUUUAUACUCCUGUCAUUACUACAACGAGAUUUUCAAUUUCGAGCAAUAUAUAAAGCUACUGACAUGGGUGUCCUCAACUCGCAGAAUAAUGGGAGUGAAGAUUACUGACAAUCUCAUCGAAUUCUUCAAAGAUAUAGACGAGGAAAACAGCUGUGAUGAAGUUUGACCUCGCUCCCGGAAUAGAUUGUGAUACGUCACACUUUGUAUUAAAUAUAAAGUAAACAUGAUCUAACUAAACCAAAAGCCUUAAGCUUGUUAAUUCAACAAUCUCUCCCCACAUUUAUUCUGAUAAGUAUACCUGCAGUACAGCAUGGUUUAUAAGUUAAAACUGUGUAUUUCACUGUCGGAUCCACUGUCUGGGUAUGUAAUUAAGAAUAGCUCAUGUCGCUGAUGCGAGUACAAGUUUUAAGAGUAAAUUUAAUGAAUUUAAUAACAUUUUGUUGACAUGUAAAUUCUCAUGUUUUUAACUGCUUUUACUUGCAACGUCCUUAUCGUCUUCAUCAGACAAUACUCAUCUCAAAUCUGUCGGUAACAAAAACUCCCUCCAUCCUGAAAUAUUGCUACUGACAGGAGCAUGCAGUACAUCUUAGCUUGGUGCAAGUUAAUCCUGAAUCUAUGUAUAUCGGGUUGCUGAAUAUAUUUAUUGCCGAAUGUAACCUAUGUGCUGAUUGUUCAAUUUGUUCGAAUUGUCCUGAUGCCUGACUAUUUAAUUAUUUAAAGAUCGUUUGUAACGAAGUUUAUUGUUAAUUUCAAUUUUCAAUCCUGCACGAUUUCAAAAUUGCUGAUAGCAAAUCCAAUUGGACCUGACUUGGCUUAACAGCUCAUUAUACAUGAAUAAAGAUAGAAUUCAUAAAUCAUAAUAUUGAAUUCCUGGUAAUGUGAUGAAGCAUACAAAUAUUACGCAUAAUAUGUAAUAUUAUCCCAGACUCCUGAUGAAUGAAGCCACCCAGAUAACUAAAUUUAGACAUGAUCUGACCGAAACCAAUGCUAAACCUCUCGCUAGUAAUCUUAUCAGCUCUUCUACAAAAUAAAAAUGGGCACAAAUUAAUUUCUUUCAACGCACUUCACUCAACGCUUGAUGAUAACGGGUAUUGAAUACUCGCAGCCGGCAGCACAUUUCCUUUAAGGGGGCAGGCUAGGGGGUUCUUUAUAAAAUUCCUCUCGAAAUUGAUUUCAAUAGUUGUUUCUGAUAGAGGGGAGUAAUAUCUAUCAGCUGCUUUUGGUCCCAUGGAAAAAUAUUGUUCCUAGCCGAAGUUAUCGCCGGUCAAAGGUCAGCGCUCAUGCGUAUUGCGUAAUUGUAUUGUGCGAGCGAUUUUCGAUCGUGUGCCCGACAAUCGAGUCUAACAAUCUAUCUUCUCCUACAUGUUUUAAGCAAUCACCUUGAAACUUUCAGGAUAUGUUCUAAGGACCAUUUAGGAGAUUCUUUUCUAAUAGAAUUUUAAGAUAAGCCUUAGAAAAUGUUUUAUUCGAUUUUUAAAAUCUUGGGCCUCGUUUUUUGACGAUUUUCCAGGAUGAUUCUUAUGUUUCUCCCUGCCCUGGCCCCUGAUCCUAGUCUUCAUAUCGCCUGUGACAAGUGUUCAAGUGUCCACUGCUCUCAAAUUCGGAGAUGAUGGAAACAGUCUAAUCUCCUUACAACCCAACAUGUCACCUCUUACUGACAAGUUUACUGUUUGUCUUUGGUUUAAGAAGCUCCGAUCUGCAGGGAGUCCAAUGCCAUAUGCCUACGAACAAGAAGAAAUGUUUUUGUUUGACUACAGCCUUGACAACCACUAUUGUGGAACAUGGAGUCUUGCUUCAAGGACGUACCGAACGUACAUUAACGGUAAACUAGCUGGUUUCAAGAUCACAGACUCUGGAAGAAGAUUGAAAACAGGUGGAACUCUGGUGUUGGGAGAUUAUAGAGAUACCGCAGUUCAUGGAAAAUCUGGUCACCACUUUGGAGGAGAAAUGUAUAAUCCCAACGUCUUCUCCAAAGAGUUAACUGGUAGUGAAGAAGGAGCAAUGUCCGCAGAUGGGCUCUGUACAAAGAUCCCUGAGGAGCUGGAGCAAUACAGGGUAAUCAGAUGGGAGGAUCUGUUGAGACUUCCUAGACGUGGAAACGUUCAAGAUAUCGACAGUGGAUGCAGUGAUUUUAUCGGUGAAAAAGAACCUCGUUG
This is an RNA transcript of Bolinopsis microptera, 3344 nucleotides long. RefSeq lists it as uncharacterized. The transcript has 4 exons. The record is from RefSeq and is a predicted model, not a curated record. Lineage: Eukaryota; Metazoa; Ctenophora; Tentaculata; Lobata; Bolinopsidae.